ACAGCACAGAGCCCAACAUGGGGCUUGCACUCACCAAAGGUCCAGUCCAGUCUGGCCAGAUUUCUCAGAAGAGCACUGACCAACUCCUGACCAACUCCUCCGCCUCCGGGGUUCAGGCUCUGUCCCUGUCCCUCUGCAGCUGGUUUCCGCCGCCCGUGUCCCUCCCAAAGGUUCCCGGCUGCGAGGGCUUCACUGCACUCGGUUCUGGGGCUUUUGUUCCUAUUCAACGAAAGGCUCUUGCUUCUGGAAACUCCGUUCCCUCUCGCUUCUGCAAAGCUGCUCUUCCCAGGGUCCCCUCCCCCUCAGCCCUCCUGCCCCUCCCUCACAUCUCCUUUCUCCCAAAUAAAUGCCCUAGGUCAGCUGAUAGACAGCCAAGACCUGUGGCUUAGUGAUCGAA
This is a long non-coding RNA of Suricata suricatta (meerkat), 397 nucleotides long. RefSeq lists it as uncharacterized. The transcript is spliced from 2 exons. The record is from RefSeq and is a predicted model, not a curated record. NCBI's taxonomy places the organism in Eukaryota, Metazoa, Chordata, Mammalia, Carnivora, Herpestidae.